This 72-nucleotide transfer RNA is filed under the name Hoyosella subflava DQS3-9A1. RNAcentral describes it as "tRNA-Val (TAC) (tRNA-Val-TAC-1-1)". It matches the Rfam family "tRNA". Rfam says of the family: Transfer RNA (tRNA) molecules are approximately 80 nucleotides in length. The record is from Rfam by way of RNAcentral. RNAcentral also lists the same sequence under 2 other names. Lineage: Bacteria; Bacillati; Actinomycetota; Actinomycetes; Mycobacteriales; Hoyosellaceae.
GGGCGUAUAGCUCAGUGGUAGAGCGCUGGUCUUACACACCAGUGGUCGGGGGUUCAAAUCCCUCUGCGCCCA